GAUGAACGCUGGCGGCGUGCCUAAUACAUGCAAGUCGAGCGAACAGACGAGGAGCUUGCUCCUCUGACGUUAGCGGCGGACGGGUGAGUAACACGUGGAUAACCUACCUAUAAGACUGGGAUAACUUCGGGAAACCGGAGCUAAUACCGGAUAAUAUAUUGAACCGCAUGGUUCAAUAGUGAAAGACGGUUUUGCUGUCACUUAUAGAUGGAUCCGCGCCGCAUUAGCUAGUUGGUAAGGUAACGGCUUACCAAGGCAACGAUGCGUAGCCGACCUGAGAGGGUGAUCGGCCACACUGGAACGGAGACACGGUCCAGACUCCUGCGGGAGGCCGCAGUAGGGAAUCUGCCGCAGUGGGCGAAAGCCUGACGGAGCAACGCCGCGUGAGUGAUGAAGGUCUUCGGAUCGUAAAACUCUGUUAUUAGGGAAGAACAAAUGUGUAAGUAACUAUGCACGUCUUGACGGUACCUAAUCAGAAAGCCACGGCUAACUACGUG
RNAcentral lists this ribosomal RNA (497 nucleotides) under uncultured bacterium. RNAcentral describes it as "partial 16S ribosomal RNA". It matches the Rfam family "Bacterial small subunit ribosomal RNA", at positions 28 to 507 of the family's 1533-position model. The record is from RNAcentral.